RNAcentral lists this ribosomal RNA (253 nucleotides) under uncultured prokaryote. RNAcentral's name for it is "partial 16S ribosomal RNA". It matches the Rfam family "Bacterial small subunit ribosomal RNA", at positions 524 to 776 of the family's 1533-position model. The record is from RNAcentral.
UACAGAGGUCUCAAGCGUUGUUCGGAUUCAUUGGGCGUAAAGGGUGCGUAGGCGGCGCGGUAAGUCGGGUGUGAAAUCUCGGAGCUUAACUCCGAAACUGCAUUCGAUACUGCCGUGCUUGAGGACUGGAGAGGAGACUGGAAUUUACGGUGUAGCGGUGAAAUGCGUAGAUAUCGUAAGGAAGACCAGUGGCGAAGGCGGGUUGCUGGGCCGACACUGACGCUGAAGCGCGAAAGCUAGGGGAGCGAACGGG